UAGUCCACACCGUAAACGAUGGUUACUAGCUGUUUGGACUAAUUAAGGUCUAAGUGGCCAAGCGAAAGUGAUAAGUAACCCACCUGGGGAGUACGUUCGCAAGAUUGAAACUCAAAGGAAUUGACGGGGGCCCGCACAAGCGGUGGAGCAUGUGGUUUAAUUCGAUGAUACGCGAGGAACCUUACCAGGGCUUAAAUGCAGUAUGACAGAUUUGGAAACAGAUUUUUCUCGGACAUAUUGCAAGGUNCCGCAUGGUUGUCGUCAGCUCGUGCCGUGAGGUGUCAGGUUAAGUCCUAUAACGAGCGCAUCCCCUAUUGCUAGUUGCCAGCGGAUAAUGCCGGGGACUCUAGUGAGACUGGCCGGUGCAAACCGUGAGGAAGGUGGGAUGACGUCAAAUCAUCACGGCCCUUACGUCCUGGGCCACACACGUGCUACAAUGGUAGGACAGAGAGCAGCCACUUCGCGUAGAACGGNGACGAAUCGUAUAAACCCUNUCACAGUUCGGAUCGU
Molecule: ribosomal RNA, 510 nt
Filed under: uncultured bacterium
Lineage: Bacteria
Description: bacterial SSU rRNA
Rfam family: Bacterial small subunit ribosomal RNA
Source: RNAcentral